GAUGAAGAACGCAGUAAAAUGCGAUAAGUAAUGUGAAUUGCAGAAUUCAGUGAAUCAUCGAAUCUUUGAACGCACAUUGCGCCCGCCAGUAUUCUGGCGGGCAUGCCUGUUCGAGCGUCAUUUCACCCCUCAAGCACAGCUUGGUGUUGGGACUCGCGUUAAUUCGCGUUCCCCAAAUUGAUUGGCGGUCACGUCGAGCUUCCAUAGCGUAGUAGUAAAACCCUCGUUACUGGUAAUCGUCGCGGCCACGCCGUUAAACCCCAACUUCUGAAUGUUGACCUCGGAUCAGGUAGGAAUACCCGCUGAACUUAAGCAUAUCAUAAGCGGAGGA
Molecule: unclassified non-coding RNA, 331 nt
Filed under: soil metagenome
Description: partial contains 5.8S ribosomal RNA, internal transcribed spacer 2, and large subunit ribosomal RNA
Rfam family: 5.8S ribosomal RNA (bases 1-120)
Source: RNAcentral